CAUCUACUAAGUAAAGGCUCAAGAUGAUUUUUUUGAAGCCCCAAUCGAUAUUUAAAUCUAAUAAGCAAAGCCCAACAUGUUUGAAACUUCUUAUUAGUGCCUAAUAACCUAUUCACUCGUUUUCCUCAUCUCUCUCUACUCUCAAGUCCCAAAUCAACAAACCCUCCUCCUGCACCUGCUCCUUCAAGUCCGCGAUCGCUCACCGUCGCAACGCAGCCGUCGUCUUUGCCCUCCACCUUCUCCCCAAACAAAUCUGGCCGAAAAGCCAGCAGCACGUGCGACCGCCGUCCCAACGCUGCUGUCAUCUCCCUCUGCCAACGACAGGUCAAACAACAUCAACCACUUCGACCGCCGGCUUAGCCGUCUGUUCAUUUCCCAGACACCACCUCUUCUUAUCCAUCUUUUUUCUAAAGCUCUUUAUCCUUCUUUCUAGUUCUUCAUCUCUCCACUCGAUUCACACAAAUUGCUUUUGAAAAAAUUGAAUAAUUUGACUGAUUUUCCUAAUUUUAUGUGUAAUUUUGGUGAUU
Molecule: long non-coding RNA, 527 nt
Filed under: Salvia miltiorrhiza (redroot sage)
Lineage: Eukaryota; Viridiplantae; Streptophyta; Magnoliopsida; Lamiales; Lamiaceae
Description: long non-coding RNA (SMIL_LNC002219)
Source: RNAcentral